GAUGAACGCUGGCGGCGUGCUUAACACAUGCAAGUCGAACGAAGUAAUUUAGCGGAAGUUUUCGGAUGGAAGCUGGAUUGACUGAGUGGCGGACGGGUGAGUAACGCGUGGGUAACCUGCCUCACACUGGGGGACAACAGUUAGAAAUGACUGCUAAUACCGCAUAAGCGCACAGGACCGCAUGGUCCGGUGUGAAAAGGAGCAAUCCGCUUUGAGAUGGCCUCGCGUCCGAUUAGCUAGUUGGUGAGGUAAUGGCCCACCAAGGCGACGAUCGGUAGCCGGACUGAAAGGUUGAACGGCCACAUUGGGACUGAGACACGGCCCAGACUCCUACGGGAGGCAGCAGUGGGGAAUACUGCACAAUGGGGAACCCUGAUGCAGCGACGCCGCGUGGAGGAAGAAGGUCUUCGGAUUGUAAACUCCUGUUGUUGAGGAAGAUAAUGACGGUACUCAACAAGGAAGUGACGGCUAACUACGUG
RNAcentral lists this ribosomal RNA (479 nucleotides) under uncultured bacterium. Its description in RNAcentral is "bacterial SSU rRNA". It matches the Rfam family "Bacterial small subunit ribosomal RNA", at positions 28 to 507 of the family's 1533-position model. The record is from RNAcentral.